GACGAACGCUGGCGGCGUGCCUAACACAUGCAAGUCGAGCGGGGGAAGGUAGCUUGCUACCGGACCUAGCGGCGGACGGGUGAGUAAUGCUUAGGAAUCUGCCUAUUAGUGGGGGACAACAUCUCGAAAGGGAUGCUAAUACCGCAUACGUCUUACGGGAGAAAGCAGGGGAUCUUCGGACCUUGAGCUAAUAGAUGAGCCUAAGUCGGAGUAGCUAGUUGGUGGGGUAAAGGCCUACCAAGGCGAUGAUCUGUAGCGGGUCUGAGAGGAUGGUCCGCCACAAUGGGACUAGUACACGGCCCAGACUCCUACGGGAGGCAGCAGUGGGGAAUAUUGGACAAUGGGGGGAACCCUGAUCCAGCCAUGCCGCGUGUGUGAAGAAGGCCUUAUGGUUGUAAAGCACUUUAAGCGAGGAGGAGGCUACUAUAGUUAAUACCUAGGGAUAGUGGACGUUACUCGCAGAAUAAGCACCGGCUAACUCUGUGCCAGCCGCCGCAGUAA
Molecule: ribosomal RNA, 501 nt
Filed under: uncultured bacterium
Lineage: Bacteria
Description: partial 16S ribosomal RNA
Rfam family: Bacterial small subunit ribosomal RNA
Source: RNAcentral